Molecule: long non-coding RNA, 102 nt
Organism: Myripristis murdjan (pinecone soldierfish)
Lineage: Eukaryota; Metazoa; Chordata; Actinopteri; Holocentriformes; Holocentridae
Exons: 3
Source: RefSeq, a predicted model, not a curated record
UGUCACAACAGACUGGAGCUGUUUGCUUUACUGCAGUGAUGAACGGCAACAUGCUGACCUUUGCCCUGUUGGGUUUUCUUCUCGUCUGGAUGCUGCCUGCAG